CCUAUACGUUGCCUCGGCGGAUCAGCCCGCGCCCCGUAAAACGGGACGGCCCGCCCGAGGACCCCUAAACUCUGUUUUUAGUGGAACUUCUGAGUAAAACAAACAAAUAAAUCAAAACUUUCAACAACGGAUCUCUUGGUUCUGGCAUCGAUGAAGAACGCAGCAAAAUGCGAUAAGUAAUGUGAAUUGCAGAAUUCAGUGAAUCAUCGAAUCUUUGAACGCACAUUGCGCCCGCCAGUAUUCUGGCGGGCAUGCCUGUUCGAGCGUCAUUUCAACCCUCAAGCUCAGCUUGGUGUUGGGACUCGCGGUAACCCGCGUUCCCCAAAUCGAUUGGCGGUCACGUCGAGCUUCCAUAGCGUAGUAAUCAUACACCUCGUUACUGGUAAUCGUCGCGGCCACGCCGUUAAACCCCAACUUCUGAAUGUUGACCUCGGAUCAGGUAGGAAUACCCGCUGAACUUAAGCAUAUCA
RNAcentral lists this ribosomal RNA (470 nucleotides) under Fusarium sp. WLM116. Its description in RNAcentral is "eukaryotic LSU rRNA". The stretch from base 116 to 269 matches the Rfam family "5.8S ribosomal RNA". Lineage: Eukaryota; Fungi; Ascomycota; Sordariomycetes; Hypocreales; Nectriaceae. The record is from RNAcentral.